This 72-nucleotide transfer RNA is filed under the name Camelus bactrianus (Bactrian camel). It matches the Rfam family "tRNA". From Rfam's summary of the family: Transfer RNA (tRNA) molecules are approximately 80 nucleotides in length. Their secondary structure includes four short double-helical elements and three loops (D, anti-codon, and T loops). Further hydrogen bonds mediate the characteristic L-shaped molecular structure. tRNAs have two regions of fundamental functional importance: the anti-codon, which is responsible for specific mRNA codon recognition, and the 3' end, to which the tRNAs corresponding amino acid is attached (by aminoacyl-tRNA synthetases). tRNAs cope with the degeneracy of the genetic code in two manners: having more than one tRNA (with a specific anti-codon) for a particular amino acid; and 'wobble' base-pairing, i.e. permitting non-standard base-pairing at the 3rd anti-codon position. RNAcentral also lists the same sequence under 2 other names. Lineage: Eukaryota; Metazoa; Chordata; Mammalia; Artiodactyla; Camelidae. The record is from Rfam by way of RNAcentral.
GAGGGUAUAGCUCAGUGGUAGAGCACAUGCUUAGCAUGCACGAGGUCCUAGUUUCAAACCCUAGUAACUCUA